UCCAGCAGCGGUGACGUCAGGGUGAGAUCUGCUGCUGUGAACACAGCCAGCUCAUGUUUGUGUUUGUGUCCCAGCAUUAACUCUUGAUGUCUUCCACAGAUCUUUCAGCUUAAUUCAUUAAAAAGUUGCUUACCAAUGAAAAGAAGUCAGCUCAAACCAAACACUGAGUAUUAUAUUAAAGCAAAAUUUAAGCCUGAUGAGAAAAAUAUAUAUAAAGCAACAUGGAGUGAAUGGAGCGAAUCAAUAAAUUGGACAAAUGAAGACCCAUCAGAACCAGAAAACAUUUCCAUCAUUCUGCUGAAAUAUCUGAGCCCUGUGUUUGUGCUCAUUAUUGCUUUUCUGGUUGUCUUCUACACUCCUGCUGCACGACUGAAGAUAAAGUCUCUGUCCCACACUCCAUCAC
Austrofundulus limnaeus is the source of this 403-nucleotide long non-coding RNA. RefSeq lists it as uncharacterized. The transcript is spliced from 3 exons. The record is from RefSeq and is a predicted model, not a curated record. NCBI's taxonomy places the organism in Eukaryota, Metazoa, Chordata, Actinopteri, Cyprinodontiformes, Rivulidae.